UACGGAGGGUGCAAGCGUUAUCCGGAUUCACUGGGCUUAAAGGGAGCGCAGGCGGAUUGGUAAGUCAGUGGUGAAAUACCUGAGCUUAACUCGGGAACUGCCAUUGAUACUACCGGUCUUGAAUAUUGUUGAGGUAUGCGGAAUGGGUCAUGUAGCGGUGAAAUGCAUAGAUAUGACCCGGAACACCAAUUGCGAAGGCAGCAUGCUAAACAAAGAUUGACGCUGAGGCUCGAAAGCGUGGGGAUCAAACAGG
RNAcentral lists this ribosomal RNA (253 nucleotides) under uncultured bacterium. Its description in RNAcentral is "partial 16S ribosomal RNA". It matches the Rfam family "Bacterial small subunit ribosomal RNA", at positions 524 to 776 of the family's 1533-position model. The record is from RNAcentral.